This 567-nucleotide ribosomal RNA is filed under the name Saccharomyces cerevisiae (brewer's yeast). Its description in RNAcentral is "LSU rRNA". It matches the Rfam family "Eukaryotic large subunit ribosomal RNA", at positions 64 to 647 of the family's 3401-position model. The record is from RNAcentral. Lineage: Eukaryota; Fungi; Ascomycota; Saccharomycetes; Saccharomycetales; Saccharomycetaceae.
AACAACCGGGAUUGCUUAGUAACGGCGAGUGAAGCGGCAAAAGCUCAAAUUUGAAAUCUGGUACCUUCGGUGCCCGAGUUGUAAUUUGGAGAGGGCAACUUUGGGGCCGUUCCUUGUCUAUGUUCCUUGGAACAGGACGUCAUAGAGGGUGAGAAUCCCGUGUGGCGAGGAGUGCGGUUCUUUGUAAAGUGCCUUCGAAGAGUCGAGUUGUUUGGGAAUGCAGCUCUAAGUGGGUGGUAAAUUCCAUCUAAAGCUAAAUAUUGGCGAGAGACCGAUAGCGAACAAGUACAGUGAUGGAAAGAUGAAAAGAACUUUGAAAAGAGAGUGAAAAAGUACGUGAAAUUGUUGAAAGGGAAGGGCAUUUGAUCAGACAUGGUGUUUUGUGCCCUCUGCUCCUUGUGGGUAGGGGAAUCUCGCAUUUCACUGGGCCAGCAUCAGUUUUGGUGGCAGGAUAAAUCCAUAGGAAUGUAGCUUGCCUCGGUAAGUAUUAUAGCCUGUGGGAAUACUGCCAGCUGGGACUGAGGACUGCGACGUAAGUCAAGGAUGCUGGCAUAAUGGUAGAUCCCU